CCCGACCGUAGCUGCUACCUUGACGUGGUGGUCGGGCUUGUCUAUAUUGACGACCCAAUUGAGCUAUCUUGGCUGGAACAUAUGUUCCUGUAGGUUCUACCAUGCCAGCCAUGUCAAUUGGAGAACGGUUAGACUAAAAGCAGC
This 144-nucleotide non-coding RNA is filed under the name Schistosoma mansoni. Lineage: Eukaryota; Metazoa; Platyhelminthes; Trematoda; Strigeidida; Schistosomatidae. The record is from RNAcentral.